This 586-nucleotide ribosomal RNA is filed under the name uncultured bacterium. RNAcentral describes it as "bacterial SSU rRNA". It matches the Rfam family "Bacterial small subunit ribosomal RNA", at positions 102 to 684 of the family's 1533-position model. The record is from RNAcentral.
ACGGGUGAGUAAUGCCUAGGAAUCUGCCUGGUAGUGGGGGAUAACGUUCGGAAACGGACGCUAAUACCGCAUACGUCCUACGGGAGAAAGCAGGGGACCUUCGGGCCUUGCGCUAUCAGAUGAGCCUAGGUCGGAUUAGCUAGUUGGUGGGGUAAUGGCUCACCAAGGCGACGAUCCGUAACUGGUCUGAGAGGAUGAUCAGUCACACUGGAACUGAGACACGGUCCAGACUCCUACGGGAGGCAGCAGUGGGGAAUAUUGGACAAUGGGCGAAAGCCUGAUCCAGCCAUGCCGCGUGUGUGAAGAAGGUCUUCGGAUUGUAAAGCACUUUAAGUUGGGAGGAAGGGCAGUUACCUAAUACGUGAUUGUUUUGACGUUACCGACAGAAUAAGCACCGGCUAACUCUGUGCCAGCAGCCGCGGUAAUACAGAGGGUGCAAGCGUUAAUCGGAAUUACUGGGCGUAAAGCGCGCGUAGGUGGUUUGUUAAGUUGGAUGUGAAAUCCCCGGGCUCAACCUGGGAACUGCAUUCAAAACUGACUGACUAGAGUAUGGUAGAGGGUGGUGGAAUUUCCUGUGUAGCGGUGA